RNAcentral lists this ribosomal RNA (252 nucleotides) under uncultured bacterium. Its description in RNAcentral is "partial 16S ribosomal RNA". It matches the Rfam family "Bacterial small subunit ribosomal RNA", at positions 524 to 776 of the family's 1533-position model. The record is from RNAcentral.
UACGAAGGGGGCUAGCGUUGCUCGGAAUCACUGGGCGUAAAGGGUGCGUAGGCGGGUUUUAAGUCAGGGGUGAAAUCCUGGAGCUCAACUCCAGAACUGCCUUUGAUACUGAGAAUCUUGAGUACGGGAGAGGUGAGUGGAACUGCGAGUGUAGAGGUGAAAUUCGUAGAUAUUCGCAAGAACACCAGUGGCGAAGGCGGCUCGCUGGGACGUGACUGACGCUGAGACGCGAAAGCGUGGGGAGCAAACAGG